GAAAGUUUUAAGACCUCAAUAAGAGAUGGCAUGGGACAAAGGAAGUCCUCAGUCGGCGCAUAUCAACAUCAUCGAUUUCUUCUUCUUCUUCAUGAUCACCUACCUAUAUAUAUAUAGAUCGAUCCCCUCCAUGCAUGCCAUGUAGCUAUCUUACUUCAAUUUGGUUCUGCAUUCAACAACAAUCUAGACUAAGAUAAUAUCUCACAUGACUAUGAGACGCAUACAUGCAUUAGUGGUAGUAGUAGUAGUAAUUAUAUUUGAGAAAUUGCUGUAAACAAAAGAGACAAUUCAGGGUAUUGGACGUAGAAUGGUACACCCCUCUCUAGGUUAGCUCGGUAUAAUGAUGAUGGAAAGUUGUUAACUGUCAAUGUAUAGUAGGUUUUGUCAUUGGUGACUCGACUGAUAAUAGUUUUAUAGUGUAUUAUUCAUUAUUCAUCGACCUAAUUAACACUGAGGUAGCAUUUGAAUUGAUGAUGAUCAUCUAGUUUUUUUAAUCGGCCUCUAUUUUUUUUUUGGUCAGCGGGAAUAGGACUAACUCGUCCUUACCCAAAGAUUUAUUAAUAAGAAGAAAAAAAAAGUACAACUUUGAGGCUGUGAUAUGGUUGGCUAAGAUGUUUAGUUAACAACUUUGAGGUCAUAAGUUCAAACAUCACUGUUAUAUGUAAGGUGCAUGUUGAGAAUUGAUAGUUAAGUUUGUGAUCAUAGUUUACAAAUCAUGGAGCCCUUCUAGUGAGGACUCUUAAGUUGAGGACUAGUUGAGGACUUUUCGGUUUAUGGUUUAAAAGACCAUUUUUCGAUCACAUUUUGACAUCUCAUAUGUUUAGUUUUUGGGUUUAUAUGAGUAAAUCAUUUCUAUAAAUUUUCAGUCAAAUUGGUGUUCUUUAAGAUAACAAACUAGAUCAAAUUAAUGGACGAACCAAAUCUGUCAAAUAUGAACCGUUCAAGUUCAUAAUUGAUAAAUCAGACUUACGAAUGCCUUAACAAUUUUCAAUAUAGCUGAAAAUUUGGAUAAAUAAUCUACUUAUAAAUACCUAUAAACUAAACGGUCAAGAUGUGGAUAUAAGAUCAAAAGGUGGGAUAAGCCGAAAAGUCCUCAAUAAGUCCUCAACUUAAAGGUCAUCACUAGAAGGGCUCCAUCAAAUCAUAGUUAUAUAGUAGUUCUUUGUGUUGAUGUUUGAUAGCCUAAUAGCAAAAAAAACCAAUAUAUCUUUGUACUUUUUUUCAAAAGUAAUGUGAGAACAACAUAUCCAUCCCCAAAACUCGUUUCUUUUCAUAUGACCAAAGCAAAUUGAGAAGUUUAGGUGCUUUGAAUUAUCGAAAGAAAUUGUUACAAAUUUAAACAUCUUUUACGAAACGACAUUUUACUAGAAAAACAUAAGAUAACAAAACCGAUAAAUUUAGAAAGAUUCAGGUCGGUUUGAACUAAAGCCGAUAAAUUUAGACAGAUUCAAGUCACUCAACUUAGCCUAGCUAUGGAAGAGAGUUUCUCUGUAAUGAAGUGCUUUUAUAUAUGAAUGGUCUAGCUUAGAUCGUAUUCAAGCCAAGUUUGAAUUAACUGAUUGGGAUGGAAAUUCGAUUUCCAGGAAGAUAAAGACACAAACCUGGAUUACAUAGUAUCUGAACCAACCCCUCGACGUCGAAUAAUUUAAGCUAUAGUCACUAAUCAAUAUUGAACUGGCAGUGUUAAGCAUUGCACUAGUACUACAGCACUUACGUUGCUGUCAAUUGACGCCUUCCAUCUUUCCAUUUGUCACUGACUUUUUCACUGACGUUUAUUAUUCUAAUCCCAGAUUUUUGCUGAAUAGUUCUUCGAGUCUUAUAAAAACAAGAAGAAACUAGCCGUCUCCCUCGAGUAAGCACUGAUCUCAUUUUUUUGAACUAGCUAGACAUGGUCAAGGUCACUGCACUAAACAUGAACGUGUUUUAUGAUCUGUGGCCGUCUCAGACCAAAGAGAAGGAGCUAAAACAAGUGCUACGUAGUUAUACAAGGGGACAAAUGGUGUGGUAGUGAUUUUCCGAUUUUUAAAGUAAUGGGUUACUAUCUAUUUAUUCCUUUUGAACUGCUCCCUCGAUUGCCAUCUUAAUUGAUCUCAUUAUUAUCUAAUUAUCACAUUAACAGAGACUAGAGCUAGUUGUUUAGUUGGAGCUUAAAUAGUUACGUACAAUUCUUUUUUUCCUUACUAAGGAGAAUAAUGUUAAGAUUCAACUAUGGAGGAUUGGAUUAUGGAUAAAAGAAGUAAACUUAAGAACAAUACUAAAAGAGCUAAUGUAAUCAUGAAGUGCCACUAGUACUAAUUAGGCCGUCUCUCUCAUUAGUCUCUACAAAUGAGUUUGUGGGGGUGGUUGGUGAUUAAAUUAGCAUAUGUGAUUUGAAUUUUGCCCGCUGAAUUAAGCUAAUGAACAUGAUAUAUAGUAUGAUGCAUGUGUCUCAUUGUGUAGAUUGUUCUGUGUACUCUAUGAAAGUGAUAUUUGAUAUGGAUAGUACAUGUUAUGGCCAUAUAUAGUGACUUGUGGUUGUAUUCAUCAAGACCUUUGUGUUACCAAAACAUGAGUGCUUGGUCAAUCAGUGACUGGGUGAACACGAAUGUGUUCAUAAAACCUGAUCAUUUUUUGUCUUGAAAGAAUUCAAUUCGAUCACUAAGAAAAAUGAUCUAAUCUCAUAGCUCACAACUUUAGUGGUAGAUCGAGUUCUUCUCCUUCAACCUAUAACAAGAGUUCGGCCUUUGUCUCAUUAUCUAGCCCUAGGUAGUCUUGGAGAGGAAGUAAGCUACCAAAGUGUGUACCACAUAGUCUCUUUCCAGCCCAUAAGCUAUCAAAUAAGUA
RNAcentral lists this long non-coding RNA (2823 nucleotides) under Fragaria vesca (wild strawberry). RNAcentral's name for it is "long non-coding RNA (FVES_LNC000356)". The record is from RNAcentral. Lineage: Eukaryota; Viridiplantae; Streptophyta; Magnoliopsida; Rosales; Rosaceae.